ACCUCCAGCUAAGGUCCCCAAGUCAUGGCUAAGUGGGAAAGGAUGUGAGGAUCCCAAAACAACCAGGAUGUUGGCUUAGAAGCAGCCAUCAUUUAAAGAAAGCGUAACAGCUCACUGGUCUAAAUAAGGGUCUUUGCGCCGAAAAUGUAACGGGGCUGAAGCCAUGCACCGAAGCUGAGGAUGUGUAGCAAUACACGUGGUAGCGGAGCGUUCCGUAAGCCUGUGAAGGGACAGUCGUGAGACAUCCUGGAGGUAUCGGAAGUGCGAAUGUUGACAUGAGUAACGAUAAAGAGGGUGAGAGACCCUCUCGCCGAAAGACCAAGGGUUCCUGCUUAAAGUUAAUCUGAGCAGGGUUAGCCGGCCCCUAAGACGAGGCGGACACGCGUAGUCGAUGGGAACCACGUUAAUAUUCGUGGGCCUGGUGGUAGUGACGGAUUGCUCAACUUGUAAGGUCUUAUUGGAUUGAUCUUGCAGGGACGCGGUUCCAGGAAACAGCUCCACCGUAUAGACCGUACCCGAAACCGACACAGGUGGUCAGGUAGAGUAUACCAAGGCGCUUGAGAGAACUAUGUUGAAGGAACUCGGCAAAUUGCACGCGUAACUUCGGAAGAAGCGUGACCCCAUUUUACGCAAGUGAGAUGGGGUGGCACAGACCAGGGGGUAGCGACUGUUUAUCAAAAACACAGGGCUCUGCGAAGUCGCAAGACGACGUAUAGGGUCUGACGCCUGCCCGGUGCUGGAAGGUUAAAGGGAGAGGUGCAAGCUUUGAACUGAAGCCCCAGUAAACGGCGGCCGUAACUAUAACGGUCCUAAGGUAGCGAAAUUCCUUGUCGGGUAAGUUCCGACCUGCACGAAUGGCGUAACGACUUCCCCGCUGUCUCCAACAUAGACUCAGUGAAAUUGAAUUCCCCGUGAAGAUGCGGGGUUCCUGCGGUCAGACGGAAAGACCCCGUGCACCUUUACUAUAGCUUUACACUGGCAUUCGUGUCGGCAUGUGUAGGAUAGGUGGUAGGCUUUGAAGCGGGGACGCCAGUUUCCGUGGAGCCAUCCUUGAAAUACCACCCUUAUCGUCAUGGAUGUCUAACCGCGGUCCGUUAUCCGGAUCCGGGACAGUGUAUGGUGGGUAGUUUGACUGGGGCGGUCGCCUCCGAAAGAGUAACGGAGGCGCGCGAUGGUGGGCUCAGACCGGUCGGAAAUCGGUCGUCGAGUGCAAUGGCAUAAGCCCGCCUGACUGCGAGACUGACAAGUCGAGCAGAGACGAAAGUCGGUCAUAGUGAUCCGGUGGUCCCGCGUGGAAGGGCCAUCGCUCAACGGAUAAAAGGUACGCCGGGGAUAACAGGCUGAUGACCCCCAAGAGUCCAUAUCGACGGGGUUGUUUGGCACCUCGAUGUCGGCUCAUCGCAUCCUGGGGCUGGAGCAGGUCCCAAGGGUUUGGCUGUUCGCCAAUUAAAGCGGUACGUGAGCUGGGUUCAGAACGUCGUGAGACAGUUCGGUCCCUAUCUGCCGUGGGUGUAGGAAUAUUGACAGGAUCUGUCCCUAGUACGAGAGGACCGGGAUGGACAUAUCUCUGGUGGACCUGUUGUCCUGCCAAGGGCAUAGCAGGGUAGCUACAUAUGGAAGGGAUAACCGCUGAAGGCAUCUAAGCGGGAAACCCACCUGAAAACGAGUGU
This 1670-nucleotide ribosomal RNA is filed under the name Rhizobium sullae WSM1592. Its description in RNAcentral is "bacterial LSU rRNA". It matches the Rfam family "Bacterial large subunit ribosomal RNA", at positions 1031 to 2811 of the family's 2925-position model. The record is from RNAcentral. Lineage: Bacteria; Pseudomonadati; Pseudomonadota; Alphaproteobacteria; Hyphomicrobiales; Rhizobiaceae.